CACUUCGUUCAACGGUUACUCACAUUCCGUGAAAACUUACCCACCGACACACGACGAUUCUCGAUUGGUCGACUGACAGGCUAGUUCGCAACGCACACUAUUCCAACAGUAUUGUAAUGGCUGCUCCACAAUCUGCGCAGCUACGCCAGCGACAUCUAUAGAUCGCGCUAAUCAAGAAAAGAGCGUGUAAUUUAAAUUUAAAAAGGGUACCAGCCCCAUAACCAGGAUUAUGUGAUCCGAUUUGGAGUUUCGAUCAAUGUUGGAAGUGAAACGAAUGCGUUUAGAUGAUUAACACGCUAAUUUAAUGUAUAUCGAACAUUAUGUAAAUAUUAAACUAUUAAUAACAAUGUAAAGAAAAGAAAAACAAAAGGUAAAAAAUUUGUUGUUUAAAUUUUGGUCAAUAAUUGUUCUGGGUAUAUAGUUUUGUCUUUGCAAUAAAUAGAUCAGAAAGUCAUAAAAUUGGAGAGAAUUUGAUCGAUAGAAAUUUUUAUUGUUAAAAUUGUAUAAUAUUGAAAAUAUUUUCUGUAUUAAGAGAUAUUAAAUAAACAAGUUCUAUCUACAUGUAUCUUCGUACAAUAUAAAGUUUCAUGUAUAAUUCAA
Molecule: long non-coding RNA, 600 nt
Organism: Bombus terrestris (buff-tailed bumblebee)
Lineage: Eukaryota; Metazoa; Arthropoda; Insecta; Hymenoptera; Apidae
Exons: 3
Source: RefSeq, a predicted model, not a curated record